This 73-nucleotide transfer RNA is filed under the name Bos taurus (domestic cattle). It matches the Rfam family "tRNA". Rfam says of the family: Transfer RNA (tRNA) molecules are approximately 80 nucleotides in length. Their secondary structure includes four short double-helical elements and three loops (D, anti-codon, and T loops). Further hydrogen bonds mediate the characteristic L-shaped molecular structure. tRNAs have two regions of fundamental functional importance: the anti-codon, which is responsible for specific mRNA codon recognition, and the 3' end, to which the tRNAs corresponding amino acid is attached (by aminoacyl-tRNA synthetases). tRNAs cope with the degeneracy of the genetic code in two manners: having more than one tRNA (with a specific anti-codon) for a particular amino acid; and 'wobble' base-pairing, i.e. permitting non-standard base-pairing at the 3rd anti-codon position. The record is from Rfam by way of RNAcentral. RNAcentral also lists the same sequence under 3 other names. Lineage: Eukaryota; Metazoa; Chordata; Mammalia; Artiodactyla; Bovidae.
UCCCUGGUGGUCCAGUGGUUAAGACUCCACACUUUCACUGGUAAAGGCCCGGGUUCGAUACCUGGUUGGGGAA